This 301-nucleotide ribosomal RNA is filed under the name uncultured bacterium. Its description in RNAcentral is "partial 16S ribosomal RNA". It matches the Rfam family "Bacterial small subunit ribosomal RNA", at positions 509 to 809 of the family's 1533-position model. The record is from RNAcentral.
CAGUCGCCACGGUAAUACGGAGGGUGCAAGCGUUAAUCGGAAUUACUGGGCGUAAAGCGCACGCAGGCGGUCUGACAAGUCAGAUGUGAAAUCCCCGGGCUUAACCUGGGAACUGCAUUUGAAACUGUCAGGCUGGAGUCUUGUAGAGGGGGGUAGAAUUCCAGGUGUAGCGGUGAAAUGCGUAGAGAUCUGGAGGAAUACCGGUGGCGAAGGCGGCCCCCUGGACAAAGACUGACGCUCAGGUGCGAAAGCGUGGGGAGCAAACAGGAUUAGAUACCCGCGUAGUCCCUGUCUCUUAUAA